UGGGCUAGUAGCUUAGGCGAAAGCAGUGGGUGGCGCCAAACCAUCCAUCUACGCGGGUUCGACACCCGCCUAGCCCAAC
RNAcentral lists this transfer RNA (79 nucleotides) under Stenotrophomonas phage Siara. Its description in RNAcentral is "tRNA-Trp". It matches the Rfam family "tRNA". Rfam says of the family: Transfer RNA (tRNA) molecules are approximately 80 nucleotides in length. Their secondary structure includes four short double-helical elements and three loops (D, anti-codon, and T loops). Further hydrogen bonds mediate the characteristic L-shaped molecular structure. tRNAs have two regions of fundamental functional importance: the anti-codon, which is responsible for specific mRNA codon recognition, and the 3' end, to which the tRNAs corresponding amino acid is attached (by aminoacyl-tRNA synthetases). tRNAs cope with the degeneracy of the genetic code in two manners: having more than one tRNA (with a specific anti-codon) for a particular amino acid; and 'wobble' base-pairing, i.e. permitting non-standard base-pairing at the 3rd anti-codon position. Lineage: Duplodnaviria; Heunggongvirae; Uroviricota; Caudoviricetes. The record is from RNAcentral.